GCCGAAGAGCGUGCGGCUUCUACUGCGGCUGCGCAAGCUCGACGCGCGCACUCUUGUCUGCUUACGAGGGCUCCUCCCUUCAGCUUUGGUCCCUCGGGGCGUCUGGGCAGCCUACGCUUUCCGACUGGAAUCAGCCAUUUUACCAAGAAAGUUGGGUUUCUUUUACUGGCAAAUAGUACUUCAAGAGCACAGUCUUAUGUAAGCAUGACCCAUCUGCCUGGCACCAGCACCUGGGGCUGCCAGGCAGCCACCCCUGCAGCUGUGUUGACAGGACCUGGCAGAGGGACUGACCCACCUUUGGAAAAUGACACCAGCAAUAUCAGGAUGUGUCAACUGGAUUUAUGCUAAGAAAAUAGGAUUUUUGGUGUUCCUCUGUUUCCCAAAGUUUGAGACACUUUCAGACACUCUGCUUUGCGGUUGUGGCCGAUGUUACCCAUGGGUGGGACUUUUGCUUUGCUCUAGAUUUUUGUAACACCCUGGGGAGUUUCAGGGGCCAAUGCUGAGAGAAGACCACAGGCUGACACAUCAUGAGGUAUGUUGGUAAAACAGUCCCGGCUGGCCGAGAGGCCACUGAGGGAACAGGCCCAGGGUUUGGUUUGUACUCUGUGAGUCUUGGCCUGGCAGGGUUUCCUGCAAAGCAGAGUCCUCUGAGUGGGACCCCAGGGGAAGCAGGUUGUUGCCUGGAGCUGAGGGGCAGCUCUGUAUUCAGGAGGGGUGCCUGCCUUCCCAUCUCCCCUGUGACCAGAUGUCACAGAAACAUUCUCUCUUUACUCCCUAGACCCUCUGGGCAGGUCCACUAAGAGCAUGUAUUCUAGAACAUGCAGGGCUUGAAGCUUCACAAGAUAUUCAGUGCACUCCUUACAGAUCCUGUCAAAUGUGGACCGGGUGGUGUCAUCGCACCACCAUCAUCCCCUUGUUACCCCUGAGAACACAGCUUCAGAGAGGGUAAGUAACCUAUCUCAGGCCACACAGCCAGGACAUGGAGUAGAUCCAUCCUAAGUCUUUCUACCACACACUCCUUUCUACAGUCAUGGGUUAAAUGAGGGUGCCAUGGAAUGGGUCAUCCAGUGUACACUGACAUCAGGAGGAGUUUCACAUUCAUACACUCAUGGCAAAUGGUUCUGUUGCUCCCUGGUCCAAAGAUGAUCUUAAUAGUAGGAAAAACUCAUUUGGCAGAAGCAAGACUCAGCACACAGGCUCUCUCCCUGAGUCUUCUGUGGCUGGCCUUGCCCUGCCCUCCCCUCCCCAACCCCACUGGCAGAAUAAAGUCGGGGGGCUGUGAGGACUGAGCCCCAGGCCUUGACAGGCACCCGCAGCCAGCCGAACUCCCACCUGCCCAGUUGGAGGGGUGCGAGAAGGCCUUGCUGCUCUGCACCACCUUCAUGGCCUCCCCCAGGGCGGCGCUGGCUUUCAGGCCGUUCAGCAGGGAUGAGUAGAAGGCAUGGAUGAACAUCUUAGAAGCAGCCACUGGCACAGGCCACAGAGACACGAGGACACACUGAGCGCCGGCAGCCAGGAAGGCCCUUGUCAGCGCGAUGACCCCGUCGGCUGUGACUUUGCUGUUGGACUCCUGGGAGGAGCCAAGCACCACCAGCUUCACAGGCAGCUGCAGGUCCAGGACGUCGGCGGCAGUGCCUAACUUACUGAGAAUCAUGCCUGCUGUGAUGAGCCCUUGGAAACCAUCAGGACUGGAUGGUAGGGGUCCUGAGAGGAUUGGGGGAGGAGGCCUUGAUAUGACAGAGUGGACAGAGGCCGUGGAACCCAGGACAGCCAGCCUGCUCCACAAUCCUCAUCCCCACAGACCUUCAUGUGUGGCUCCUAAAUAAGAGGAAACCCACUCCUGAUAAGUCAGGGGCUUUGAAAAGUGAUUUUGUUUAAAUGGUGCAAACAAGCAAGCCAAUCUUGGGGAGACAGGGCUAAACUUAAGUCCUUUAAGAAGCUCUACAUACUGACAAGAUUCUAGUUCCCUUCCACCUUAUAUGCUGCAAAGUAAAAAGUAUCACUGAAUGAGAAAAUCAGCAUAAAGAAGCCCAAUAAUGUCUGCCUGAGUUUCCCCUAUGAUGACUUUUGGUACUUUUUGGGAAACAUUAAGUAUGAAGUUAUUUCAAAAUAAUUUUUUGGUGCCUCUGCUUGGUGAUGCCUUAAACUCUGGGUAAGAGAAACACCAGGUGCCUGUCAGGAGAUGGCCUUUUCCAGGUUUCUGGUUAAGCUACAAACAGCUAACUGGCUGCUGUCAUCAAAAUAAAAGCUUUCUGAAGGUGGAGGCAUCUGAUACCCAGAGUGCUGCUAUCAGCCGGCACGGUGGGCCGCUGGGUGGCAGGAGCGUCGAGAAGGCCAGCUCGCUUCCUAUCUGGGAUUCAGAAUCAGCUAUGGAAACUUGAGAGACCUAGAGAAAAUAACUUCUUUCACUUUGAACUGAUUCUUUGCUUCAUAAGAAAAGUAUUAUCCAGCCACAAAAAUGGUCAAAAUUCAGAUCUACAAAAGCCUGUCAGGCAGAAACUGACCCCACUUAGGCCACGCCAAUGAGCAAGUCAUCAAAGCAGCCAAGACAGGUCCUGUGGGGGCCACCCAUGCACAGGGCCCAGCCUCGGGUCCUAACCCCGCCUAUGCUUUCCGCCACCAUAAAGAGGCCCAUCUGGGUAAGACCUGUCCCGCCUGCUGUGGGGUAUUAGGGCAGAUGGGGUCUGAGGGGUCUGAGGGCUCUGAGAGCAGCUGGCAGCUCAAGGACAUCCGGAGUUGGAGGAUGGAGCAAUGCAGGCCCUUGUGGUAAAGACAGUCCUGCAGCCGCGCAGGCAGGGAUGCUGCAAGUGGAGUGCCAGGCGGGUGCGGAGCCCUGUGGGACUGUGGAGGGGUCAGAGGGAAGCCAGGAUUUUGGGGUCUCUGAGAGUUUGGAGAAGGGGAAGAAGAUUAAAGCUUGUUUCAAAAGUUUCUAAUCAGGUGGGCAGGGCCAAGGGUGGCUGUGGGGUGAGACCCAUGACUCAGGGUGGCCCACUGUUACUCUAUUGAUUUUUGGGCGUUUUUUUCCAAAUUGAUUAUUCUUGCUGAAUGAGACCUGAGUCCUUGACUGUCCCCUUAAAGCCACCUGACUUGUUUUCAGUUCCACUGGCCUGUCGGGCUGUUUUCUACUCAACUCCACUCUUGCUUGUCUGCCCUCCCUGCCUGGGGCCCAGCCAGCAGUCAGCUCAAGGGCCAGAUGAAUUGGGUGGCUGUGCUCUGCCCACUGGGCAUCGUGUGGAUGGUGGGUGACCAGCCCCCUCAGGUGCUCAGCCAGGCCUCAAGCCUUGCUGUGUACCUCAGAGCAGCUCCGUACCCUGAUGUCACAGCAAAGAAACUUAGACAUGACACAAACUGUGGCUUCCCAAGGCAGCAAAGAAUGGCCAGGGGUCAUGAGGGCCGUGCCCCACUUUUGGACAGACCUACUCUAAAGUCACGCUACCUGCGUGCAAAUCAUAAAAUCAACACUUUUGAGGAGAUCACAGCUAUGCCUUCGUAACACAGCCCAGUCCGACCAGAUAGACGGUGCCUCGUGACCCGAAAACAAGCCCCCGGCCCCCCACCAUGUGUGUGAGCCUUACCUUGGACUGCACGCUGAGGGAGCGGAUGGAAGGGACAGCAAGGAGGCCGAAGCGCUCGUAGAGGUACUCAUUGGAGGAGCUUCCCUUCAGGAGGGCGAAAGGAAUGAGGUAGAGCUCCCCCUCCAGAACCAGGAUGAGCUGCCGGUGCCGGCCCACGGGGCCGCUGGAGUGCAUCAGGCCCUAUGGAGCAAGCACGGAGAGGCUGACAUGGGUGGCCCAGCAGGCAGGGGUUUCAGGCACCAGGACAACCCUGAGCCCUAGCCUGGAUGACACAAGCACGAGCAGGUGAGGCCUGUGGGGGUGUGGGGCGCCAUGGGGCAUGGGCCGAGUUGCAGCCCUGCAGGAGCGGCACCAACUGGCAUGCUCGCUUGUGGACUGGCAAGGGCUGGCCUGGCAGCAUCCAUCUGCCUCACAGUCCUGAGAAGGUUAGAGGACAGUUUCUUGAAGUUCACAAGAACCUGAAGUGGGUUGGAGACCGGUCUGUACCGCACAGGCACCCUGAGAAGGGGUGGGAAUGGCCCCUCUCAAAACAAGAUCUGUUUUCCAUUUCAAUGGACAAGAGGCUAGAAAAUCACAGUGAGGACGGGAGGUCUGGGGGCUGGCAUGACAGCCCCUGUAGAAGGGGAUGGGCUGGGUUCUAGGAUCUUCCGUGACCUCCUCUGAGAAAGAGUGGCCCCUUGGCUCUGGGCUUGGGAGGUGCCGUCCCCACUUGUUCCCUCUGGGGAUGUCAGGGGACCCAAUGCAUGGAUGACUCCCAUCCCUCUUGAAAGGCCGAGCAUGAGGACUCGAGGCAGGGUGUGCACAGGGCCACAGCGGACACAGCCUCAUUCCUGUUCAUUGCAGAACAAGGCUAAGGGCGCGGGCAUCUUAAUGAGAGCAGCAGGCAACAAUCCUGGAAGCUGGGUCCACACAGACUGCGGUGAACAAAGAGGUGGCGUGGAAGCUGCUGCUGCAGCCCAGAGCCUGCCAAGAAGGUCCCAGGUCCACAGGGCCUGCGCAACACUGGGUGCCAGGGGUGGGGCUGGCCUGCCCCCCAACCCCAUCUGCUGAGGAGUGGCUGACAAGCGGACACCCACCAGGGUGCCACUCGCUUGUGCCUGGGGAAGCAAAUGUGCUCGCUUGACCCGUCUGAUGUGCUGCCGUGGGCACUUGACUGAGAGUGGCAGAGCACUAGGCUAACCCAAAGUGACACAUGCCUGGCGGGAUGUUCAGUCU
Long non-coding RNA from Homo sapiens (human), 4790 nucleotides. Ensembl annotates it as TTC28 antisense RNA 1. Its record names the gene TTC28-AS1. NCBI's taxonomy places the organism in Eukaryota, Metazoa, Chordata, Mammalia, Primates, Hominidae. The record is from Ensembl.